This is a non-coding RNA of Misgurnus anguillicaudatus (oriental weatherfish), 2776 nucleotides long. Lineage: Eukaryota; Metazoa; Chordata; Actinopteri; Cypriniformes; Cobitidae. The record is from RefSeq and is a predicted model, not a curated record.
CAGCGCGGACGAGCCAUCUAGCCUUUAUAUACAUAUCUAUGGUUUCGCUCGCAGCCCAUCUUUCAAGCUGACGCCCCGCGUCGCAAUCAUCCUCCUCGCGUCUUUGACCAAUCAGCAUUCAAAAGCAAGAUAAGGUCAUCUUAUUUUUUAUGGACAACUUUCGCGGUACAUUAGCAAUUCUCAGGUGAAUUGUUGGGAAUGGAGUCCUUCAGAGCCAAAACACUGAGCCCAGUGUUCCAGAACCCAGAGGAGAAAGACAGGCUGUGGGAGGAAGUUGAUGAGCAGGACUUGUAAGAUGAGAGGUUUGAGGAAGAGAUCAUGCAGGACAUCACAGUUCAGUGCUGAAUGAGGACCCCACAGCGUCUUUCCCCUUCAGUGCUGUCACAGCCAUGUGACACUGAAUCAGUCUCUCAGACGAGGCUCAGCCUGGCUAUGCCAAGCCCUUUCGUUUCAGAAACUUCACUUUGAACUCGGCGAGCUUGUGGACACUUGUGGUGAUGCAGGCACAUCAUACAGUGGACAAUAUUAUGCAAUGGCAUAGACUGUCUGUGCUUUGGGUAUUUUGCUGUUCAUAAUGGUGCACGGACAUCAGCGUAUGACCAACUAUUGCACCGUUUCACGAAAUACUGUUCAGUUGGAAGAUAUAUACAAAGAUCAUGAAGACCUGAUAGAUCGGUGCCUGGAACGCAAUACAGCCAAAAGACCGACAUUAGAAGAGAUCUUACAACAAGAAGGGUUUGACAAGAAAUUAAGAUUCAUCAACCCUCUGGAUGUCGCAGAUGAUUGUGGUGUCAUCUGCACACUUCGAGUUUGAUGGAGGGGUGUUUUAAAAUCCAGUCGUUGAUGUAAUGGAAGAAGAGAAGUGAAGAUCGCACACAGCUCUGAGGAGCACCAGUGCUAAUGGUGCUGGAGUGGGGUACUCUGACUUUACAGAAAAUGGGAAAUCUCACCUGUUCCUAACUCCCAAGUCUGGAUGACAAUUACAGGGCACGUUCCACCCAGAAAGGUCACAGCCAUUUACAUCCUGGCCACAACAUGUUCACCCCUGUGACAUCUGGUAAACGAUACAGAGUAUUGUACAGUAUGCUUUCACAAACAGAUUUAAAAACUGCUUUUUCAUUUAUAAAAAGGUUUUGCACUUACAUUUUUAAGUGUAAUCAGUUUGGAUAUACAACUUUUGAAAACUUUUUUAACUCUACUAGUGAUGAGUUGCUUUGACUAAAUAAAGUUACAGCAACGAAUCACUAGUCAAGAUAAAAAAUCAAAGGUGAAAUGACUUGUAUAUUCAAGUUGAUUAUACUUAAAAAUGUAGUGCAAAAAUGUUUUCCAGUGUACCAUAAAGGGACGGUCAUACUACACUUUUUGUUCCAUUAACGUCCAGUCAUGCACAUGUGAAAAUGCAAGCUUGUGUAACGAUAUUUAAUGUUUUGCUUUGUGCCAAAGUUCAAGUCUGGUGAACUCUGACCUGCGAAUUCGUAUUCGUAAGACGUGACUAGCAGAAAACCAGCACGUGACUUUUCUCCCGCCCAUAUUUGCAGCAACGUCCGAAAAAUAUUGUCAUGCUCGAAUUCUAGUGUGACCGCCCCUUAAAGUAGUUGCACUACUGAACAGUGAACACCACACCCUUUAUAUGACACCAGAGAUCUUAACCACUAGUUCCAUAUUGCCUUGUAGUGCAGUUCUUCAUUAUGUAAUGAUGACUUAUUACAACUAUGCUACCCUACCUUAACAUCUGUCACUUUGUACUUUUAAUUGCAAAAUCCACCAAGGGAGGUCGCGCUUUUACCCACCUCACACCUAAACUGUUGAUCAGCCUUCCUGACACUGGUCGGGGUUCAGACACAUCUCUUCAGGCUAGCAUACACAUAACUGCUUCCUGUAACUUUGCAUAAAGUUAUGAAUAACUUCUUAAAGAGACACAAGGCAGCAUUUUUAUGUUAAUAAAUCAUCUUCGUAAGUCUGUAUAUGGUUAAAUGACUCAUUACAUGACGAAUGAAGACUUUCUCGCCCGCCCCUACCGUUUGUAGGAAGAAUACCCCACUUGCAAGUUCGCUGUAUCCGACCCGGUGUCCUUCAGUCUCGUCAAGUCUCAGAUAUAGAAAGCAUUUACUCCCAGACACUAGGGGGAGCUAGUAGAGAAAUAAUACUCAGACUUGCCUUGUGUCCCUUUAAUAACUAUCCUCUACCUAAAAAGCUAUGAACAGCAGCUACGCUAAUUUUCUCUCUUUGUUUUUCUGUUUCUAUGCUCAUCCUGAGGUAACUACAGUACAGAUUAUACCAGCUCCAGUCUGGAUCCCACCUCCAUCACAUGACCCAACACAUAAGGAACGAUGACACCGGCCCUUCCAAGGAUUUCAGACGACACCAGCGCUGGACUAUAAACUGACUGAUCUAUAAUUUUUUAAUUUUAAGACAUUUGCUGAAUGUUACUCUACUGCAUACAUAUAUAAAAUAUAACUAAUAUGCAUUUUAUAGACUAUAAAUGUUAAAACAUGUAACAAGAAAUCCCAUCAGAAUUUGAGGUUUAGAUCACAUUUAUAUGAUUUCUAUGUUUUACAUCUUCAGCUGUUGUUUAAUUUAGAUUUAAUAAUUGGUACUUUAGUUAACUACUGAAUUACAUCAAUGGAAUACGCAACAAUGAAUAAUAUGAGUAUUAUAUUUAUAUUAACAAGUGUAAUGUAUGUAAUGUAUGAAUAUUAACUUCAGAACAGUACUUUUUUGUAGGUAUUUUGUCUUGUCUGGUUUAAAUCUUCAAAUACAGUCUCUCUUUCCCGGA